GAUCCUGGCUCAGGACGAACGCUGGCGGCGUGCCUAACACAUGCAAGUCGAGCGAAUGAAGUUCCUUCGGGAACGGAUUUAGCGGCGGACGGGUGAGUAACACGUGGGCAACCUGCCUCAUAGAGGGGAAUAGCCUUCCGAAAGGGAGAUUAAUACCGCAUAAGAUUGUAGUACCGCAUGGUACAGCAAUUAAAGGAGUAAUCCGCUAUGAGAUGGGCCCGCGGCGCAUUAGCUAGUUGGUGAGG
RNAcentral lists this ribosomal RNA (245 nucleotides) under uncultured bacterium. RNAcentral's name for it is "partial 16S ribosomal RNA". It matches the Rfam family "Bacterial small subunit ribosomal RNA", at positions 15 to 257 of the family's 1533-position model. The record is from RNAcentral.